GGUAGCGUGGCCGAGCGGUCUAAGGCGCUGGUUUAAGGCACCAGUCUCGAAAGAGGCGUGGGUUCGAAUCCCACCGCUGCCA
Nematostella vectensis (starlet sea anemone) is the source of this 82-nucleotide non-coding RNA. Lineage: Eukaryota; Metazoa; Cnidaria; Anthozoa; Actiniaria; Edwardsiidae. The record is from Rfam.